RNAcentral lists this ribosomal RNA (497 nucleotides) under uncultured bacterium. RNAcentral describes it as "partial 16S ribosomal RNA". It matches the Rfam family "Bacterial small subunit ribosomal RNA", at positions 28 to 507 of the family's 1533-position model. The record is from RNAcentral.
GAUGAACGCUGGCGGCGUGCCUAAUACAUGCAAGUCGAGCGAACGGACGAGAAGCUUGCUUCUCUGAUGUUAGCGGCGGACGGGUGAGUAACACGUGGAUAACCUACCUAUAAGACUGGGAUAACUUCGGGAAACCGGAGCUAAUACCGGAUAAUAUUUUGAACCGCAUGGUUCAAAAGUAAAAGACGGUCUUGCUGUCACUUAUAGAUGGAUCCGCGCUGCAUUAGCUAGUUGGUAAGGUAACGGCUUACCAAGGCAACGAUGCAUAGCCGACCUGAGAGGGUGAUCGGCCACACUGGAACUGAGACACGGUCCAGACUCCUACGGGAGGCAGCAGUAGGGAAUCUUCCACAAUGGGCGAAAGCCUGACGGAGCAACGCCGCGUGAGUGAUGAAGGUCUUCGGAUCGUAAAACUCUGUUAUUAGGGAAGAACAUAUGUGUAAGUAACUGUGCACAUCUUGACGGUACCUAAUCAGAAAGCCACGGCUAACUACGUG